This is a long non-coding RNA of Neopsephotus bourkii (Bourke's parrot), 1905 nucleotides long. RefSeq lists it as uncharacterized. NCBI's taxonomy places the organism in Eukaryota, Metazoa, Chordata, Aves, Psittaciformes, Psittacidae. The transcript is spliced from 3 exons. The record is from RefSeq and is a predicted model, not a curated record.
AUUCCUGGUUCCUCUUCCCUGGUUUCACAAAGACUUUAAUCAUCCCUGUAGUUUUUCUGAGACUCUUUAUUUUACUUGGGUGAUGAGAGAAGGGGAUGAGAAUCUCAUAGGGUUCGGUGACUGAAUCCCGGCUAAACUUCAAACAAACUACUUAGUGCACUGGAGUGGCCAGGGACUGCAGCUUCAUUCCUGCAAGUCCUGCAGCAUGAGACCUUGGCAGGCAAAAGGUGCCGUGUUCCUGAGCUGAAUGAUGUUAGGGUGGUUUAAGCAGAUUCCUCCAGAGCAAGCCCGGACUGGAGAGGUUCAUUUAAGACAUCAUCAGCCAUCUCCUUGUGAAGUAAUCAGCUACAGAAAUAAGACUGGGCAGAUGAAAACCUGGGAAGGUAAUAGAAGCUGGGGGAUUGGAAGUCGGUGCCUGAAACAAUUAAGAGUUCAGAGGUGAGUCAGAGAAAAAAACAACUGCUUUUUAUUAAAAAUUCAUUUCAGUUUCAUGGCCAGGCUGGAGAAGUAAUUCCAGCACAGUCUGACUUCAGAGGAAUAAAUGCCUCCUAGAUAGCAGGAUACAGAAUAGCUGAACCAAGAUGCAAGAUAGAAGCAUUAUCAUUAGAGCAAACUUCUACCAGCUAGACAUGCCCUGGCUGAAGAACAUGAGAGAACUGAAGUGCAGUGUCCUUGGUGCAGGGAAAUUUACAGGCUCUUCUGCAAAAACUCCUCUCACCAAACUCUCCAAAAUCAUAUCAAGUCUAAUAUCUGUGGGACCAAUGAUGCGCCAGGUCUGGAGCAUUACAUCACCGGCUCCCGGCUCCAUUGGCUGGUCCUACCCUGAGGACAAGACAUUCCUUCUUGCACCUUUUCAAAGCUGCUGCUUCUCAGGAAUUAACUCUUUGAAGGGUAUCACCUAGGAUCAAGUCUACAUUUUUGACUGAUACAUAUAUACAAGUACUUAAUACAAGAGGGUUUGUUAGCCACAGCUUGAAACUCCAAAGGAACAGCCAUGUCUCCUCAGUUCAGUUUAUUUCUCAACCGUCACUGCAGCAAAAAUGAACUGUGCAUUUUCUGUCCUUCAGGGGAAAAAAAACCAAGUUGUCAGUGAUGUAAAAAGCAGAAUAUGCUGAAUCAAGAAUACCAUCCAGCCUCGAAAUGUUGUUCCAGGGAGUGUCUGACUCGUUCUGCAGCUUGGCAAAAAAGCCAGACGUUACCUCAUAGCUGCGGCCAGACAGCCCAUUUCUAUGCCAGGCAACCACUGCAGAAGCACACAGCACAGGGCCCUGCUUGAUUAGCACUUCUGCUGGUUCAAGAGUCCUGGAGUGUUUUGUUCAAGGAUCCGUUUGAGCUGACCUGGCCAAAAAUAAAAGAAAAUGAAAAUAAAACCAACCCACCAAGUACCACAUCCUAAAGGUCAGAGUAAAAGAAAGGGAUGGGGAAAACAAAGAGCUGUAAUGACAGAGCUGGUCAAAGUAAAUGAAAUGUUUAAUUGUCUCCCUUGUGCCUCAUCAAAUAGCUGUCUUUAAAGCAAGAGGGAUCUUUUAUUCCUGUAGAAAAAUUACCAAUUCAUCAGUGAGUUGGAAGGUGAUGAGUGUUUGUAAACAUUACAGUCAAUAUCAUUCUCUCAUCCUCUCCCUCACUGUUGAUUUAGCCUGUUUUACUGUGUCAUUUACCUAGUCAAGCUGUGUCUGUACACUGUAUACCACAAAUGCUGGGGUCCCUGCACCAAAUUACAGCCACCCAGCAUUACUCUGAUGUGCUUUUUAGCAAACUGUACUAUUCGCACAAGAGAAGGGCAAAUAGGGCAUAGAGUGGGCAGAGAUGCUCAGCCCUGCACUACCGCACCUCCUCCUGGCAGUGUCCUAAGGAGACUUAUUCCAGGGGCUGAGAUGUGGCUCAGUGUUCUGGAAUGGAGACAGU